Molecule: transfer RNA, 72 nt
Filed under: Equus caballus (horse)
Lineage: Eukaryota; Metazoa; Chordata; Mammalia; Perissodactyla; Equidae
Rfam family: tRNA
About the family: Transfer RNA (tRNA) molecules are approximately 80 nucleotides in length.
Source: Rfam by way of RNAcentral
GCCCUGGUGGUUUAGUGGUUAAGACUCGGCGCUCUCAUUGCCUUGCCCCAGGUUUGUUUCCUGGUCAGGGAA